This 109-nucleotide ribosomal RNA is filed under the name Castor canadensis (American beaver). The record is from RNAcentral. Lineage: Eukaryota; Metazoa; Chordata; Mammalia; Rodentia; Castoridae.
GUCUACAGCCAUACCACCCUGAAUGUGCCCAUUCUCAUCUUAUCUCAGAAGCUAAACAGGAUCAGGCCUGGUUAGUACUUGGAUGGAAGACAGAUCUUCAGAAGAGACU